Molecule: long non-coding RNA, 755 nt
Organism: Mangifera indica (mango)
Lineage: Eukaryota; Viridiplantae; Streptophyta; Magnoliopsida; Sapindales; Anacardiaceae
Exons: 3
Source: RefSeq, a predicted model, not a curated record
GCUUUCUCUUCCCUUCCUUUCUCCAGCUUCAACACUGAAUCUCUCAAUUUCCCAACCAACAAACCCAAUUCCACAAGCAAUUCCCAUCAUUUUGCAUGGCUUCCAGAGCGCUGGACAUGGUGGAGCCAUGGCUCAGUCAAACUCAAACCGCAGCAAUGUGCUCACCACCAUGGCGCCUUGCCUCAACUACCUUAUGGCAAACUCAUCAACCCCUCCAACUUCUUGCUGUACUCAGCUCGGCGCUGUCGUGAAAUCUUCCCCGGAUUGCCUUUGUGCUGCUCUCAACGGCAGUGUUCCUUCACUGGGGAUCAGUAUUAACCGAACUAUCGCUGUCUCUUCCUGGUGCCUGUAAAGUCCAAACUCCUACAUUUGAUCAGUGUAAACGACAAGCGAUUGCACCUGCAGCUUCACCUGCAGAUUCUCCAACAUCGAUAAGCCCUUCUUCAGAAUCUCCAUAAACGAUUAGCCCUCCUUCAGGCUCUUCAAAUACAACUACACCACCAACCUCAGGUUCUGAGUCUAAAUCAACAACACAAAAUUCAUCUGACGGAGGCAUCAGAAGAGAGAGCGCCUAUUCGUUUUUGUUAUCUUCCUUCUCUUUGUCGCAUCUACGAUCGCCAAAUUCUGCUGAGAAUUUUUAGCCUGCUGUUGUAUUAGUGAACAAAUAACAGUUAUUCUUUUCCAGUUGGGCAGUGCUUGAUGAUGAUGUGACUAAUGAUUACAGAAGUGGGAAGAAAGAAGAGUAUUGGCUUCUC